CCUCUCAGUUUCUCACUUUCUCUAGCGGCUGUUUCUCUUCUUCUUCUCAGUAUUCUCACUCUCACUCAUGAUUCAUCAUUCAUGAUCUUACACCACCAAGUUACCGACGAACACAGCAACUGAACCAUGGAAGAACCUAGUCAAGACGCACAUACACCUCAAACUGGAGUUGGAUCAUCUAAUAUACCUAGUCAAUCUAUAGCUAGAGCUCAAUCUACACCUGGAGUUGGAGCUCAAUAUAUAUCUCCAAAUGAAGUUACAAUUAUAGCAUAUGAUGGAAACAAAGAGAAGUCUAAAGUUACAUCUGAGGUAUGGUUACAAUUCACAAGGGUAAGUGAAGAGAAAGCUAAAUAUCAUCAUUAUUUACGCACCUUUGCUGCUAACACGAGAAGAAAUGGAACUUCUGGAUUGUGGGGUCAUUUGGAUAGAUGCCGUAGGAACCCAAAUAAGAAGAAGAAAGGACAGAAAAGUUUGUUGUUUCCUCCCCCCAAACCAGGUCAGGAUGGUAACUUAGUUGCUUCUAUUUAUAAUCCUGAAGGGUGUAGAAGGGCUUUAGUUGAAUUUAUAAUCAAAGUUGAGUUGCCAUUUAGCAAGGUAGAAAAUUAAGGGUUUAUGGCUUAUAGUCAGAUGUUGGAACCUAGAUUCAAAGUCCCCAGCCACAUGACUAUUUAUAGGGAUCUUUGGAUAAUAUAUAGGGAUGAGAAAAUAAAAAAUUAAAGAUUAUUUUAAGGCAUCCAAAAAGAGGGUUUCUUUGACCACCGAUACAUGGACUUCAUCUAAUAAUAUUAAUUGUAUGUGUGUCACAGUUCACUAUGUUGAUCAGAAUUGGAAGUUGCAAAAGAGAAUAAUUUUAUUUUGCCAAGUGAAAGGUCAUACAGGUACUGCAAUAGGUAAGAUGUGGAGAAGUGCUUGUUAGAUUGGGGACUUGAAGAUGUGUUUGGUGUCACUCUGGAUAAUGUAAGUUGUGCUGCCCAUGUUCUUGCUUUGGUUAUAAAAGAUGUAGUGAGACUUUAUAACAAGUCGAUCGCAAGGAUCAGGUUAGUUGUCAAGUAUGUUACUAGUUCUCCUGCUAGAUGGGAUAAGUUUAAGCAUUGUUGUGCAGUAGAGAAGAUUGAUUGCAAGACAUGAAUGAUAUUAGACGUCAAGACAGAUGGAAUAGCACAUAUUUGAUGUUAGAGGCUGCUGAAAAAUAUGAAAGAGCUUUCAAAAGGUUAGAAAAGUAUGAUAGAGACUAUAGGAACAAGUACAUUUUUGAAGAACUUGAGUCUGUUGCUUUACCUAGUCAUGAUGAUCUUCUUGUGCUAGCUAAUUCCAUGGAAGAGUUAACUUUCAGUUAUUCAUCCAUGAACAGUUGGUUCAGUUUAGAGAUAUUGUGGCUGACUCUUUUGUUAGAAAUAUGGUUGAAAUUAUGUUUGCUAAAUAUAAUAAGUAUUGGGGUGCUUAUGAAGAUAUAAAUUCUGCUUUAUUCUUUGCACAAUUGUUGGAUCCACGAGAGAAAGAGAAGCGGUUGGAAUUUACUCUUGAGUGUUUGUACGAGAAAAAUCAGGACACAGUUGAUAGAGUUAUGAAAAAGGUUAAAGAAGAUAUGGUCAGACUCUUUGAAGAGUAUAAGUCUUCGUAUGCAGUUGUUGGUGAAAGUUCAACUAGUGGAGUUGCUGUAGUUCAAGCUCCAGUUGUUGCGCAAGAACAAAGCAUUGAGGCCAUGCUUGACUCAAGGAAUAAAAGGCAUAAAAGGAACCAAUUUGGUGUUGAAGAAUUAAAUAAGUUGGAGGAGUAUUUGUUAUAGGAAUUUGACGAAGAAGAAGGUGGAACUGAUUUUGAAAUUUUGGCUUGGUGGCGAAGGAUAUACUAGCCAUGCCGGUGUCUUCUGUUGCUUAUGAAUAAGCAUUCAGUACUGGAAAACGUGUGAUUAGUGCAUGGAGAAGAUCUUUAUCUCCUAGGACAUUUGAAGCAUUGCUAUACACACAAAGCUGGCUAGAAAAUCCUAUUGUUCUUGAUCUUAUAUCGGAGUAUAUACCAGAUGAUUGCUCAAGCAUUGAGGAAGUACCAGAGGAGUUUGAUGAUCCAAUGAUGCUUGAUUAAUGAUUGUUGAAGUUCAUAUCUUGAUGCAGACAUGGAAAGGAACUAUGGAAGUGUUGGUUUUAACACUUUAUGUUAAUCUUUGAACAUCUCAAUAUUUUACUUCGGUUAUGUUAUGUACUUAUGUUAGUUAAAGUCUUGAAGAACUUAAGUAGUUGGCUAGUUUCUGUAACUUUGAACAAUCUUUAUCAGUUUAUGUCAGAUUCAAAAAUCAGUAACUUUGUUGUUGUUUUUU
Molecule: RNA transcript, 2314 nt
Organism: Papaver somniferum (opium poppy)
Lineage: Eukaryota; Viridiplantae; Streptophyta; Magnoliopsida; Ranunculales; Papaveraceae
Exons: 4
Source: RefSeq, a predicted model, not a curated record